Molecule: ribosomal RNA, 659 nt
Filed under: uncultured bacterium
Lineage: Bacteria
Description: bacterial SSU rRNA
Rfam family: Bacterial small subunit ribosomal RNA
Source: RNAcentral
GAUUUACUUCGGUAAUGACGUUGGGAAAGCCAUUGACGGAUGGGUGAGUAACACGUGGGGAACCUGCCCCUAAGUCUGGGAUACCAUUUGGAAACAGGUGCUAAUACCGGAUAAUAAAGCAGAUCGCAUGAUCAGCUUUUGAAAGGCGGCGUAAGCUGUCGCUAAGGGAUGGCCCCGCGGUGCAUUAGCUAGUUGGUAAGGUAACGGCUUACCAAGGCGACGAUGCAUAGCCGAGUUGAGAGACUGAUCGGCCACAUUGGGACUGAGACACGGCCCAAACUCCUACGGGAGGCAGCAGUAGGGAAUCUUCCACAAUGGACGCAAGUCUGAUGGAGCAACGCCGCGUGAGUGAAGAAGGUUUUCGGAUCGUAAAGCUCUGUUGUUGGUGAAGAAGGAUAGAGGUAGUAACUGGCCUUUAUUUGACGGUAAUCAACCAGAAAGUCACGGCUAACUACGUGCCAGCAGCCGCGGUAAUACGUAGGUGGCAAGCGUUGUCCGGAUUUAUUGGGCGUAAAGCGAGCGCAGGCGGAAAAAUAAGUCUAAUGUGAAAGCCCUCGGCUUAACCGAGGAACUGCAUCGGAAACUGUUUUUCUUGAGUGCAGAAGAGGAGAGUGGAACUCCAUGUGUAGCGGUGGAAUGCGUAGAUAUAUGGAAGAACA